Long non-coding RNA from Rhinichthys klamathensis goyatoka, 2501 nucleotides. RefSeq lists it as uncharacterized. Lineage: Eukaryota; Metazoa; Chordata; Actinopteri; Cypriniformes; Leuciscidae. The transcript is spliced from 4 exons. The record is from RefSeq and is a predicted model, not a curated record.
GGGCCUUUCUCAAUCUGUGUUCUUGUCUGUACUUGUGUCCUUGUGUUCUUGUGAAACGUCAUCUUUCGUGGCCCAAGUACUGUCCCAAUACACAAGUUUGCAUUUUGACAAGAACGGUUAAAAAUCCCGGAAGUGUUCUUGACACGCCCAUUUUACCGAGGAUGCAUCGGUUGGUAACUUGUGUGAACUUGACGGCAGAAAUAUCCCAGCAUUCAUUUCGGCAUACGAGGAAGGAGAGGCAAGUCAAUACAUCAAGAGACAAUUGAAGCGGAGCAAUAAUGGCAGAAGAAAGCCAGACCCACAUCUGUAAGACAGUUUUACUUUUCGUACCGCUGUUAUUAUGUAAUUGCAUUCUGAAUAAUGUGAUAAUAAUUGAAACCAAGGGACAUCUGAGGAAACCGCAGCAUUAAUUACAUGGCGAGCGGCCAACGAGGCUCUAUUCACUGGUCGGAGGAAUUCCUCCAAAAAUGGAUGGGAGUGAGUAACGUUAUGCAUAAUCUGUAUUUUGUUGUACUACAGACUGUUAUAUAAAAAGGUUUGUACGCUAAGGGUAGUUGGUCGAUUGGUGUGUUUGGUUGUGUCUGCCAGCCAGUCAGAAGAGUUUUAUGCAUCAAAAUGAAAGAAAACAAAUACAUACUAUAAAACUAAGAAAUCAAAAUACUAGUGACAAGCAAAAUAAAUAGUAAGUUACAUGUGACAUUUAUGAUUUGGUUAUGAUAUGAAUGCAGAAAGUUAUUUGGAGGCAGUAUUGCACUUAAGUGUAUGAUAGUACAUGCAUGCAGGGAGUAGAGGAGUGACAAUAAUAAUUAUUGUUAGUAGUAAUAUUAGUAAUUGUGUUUAAGUUGUCCUCUUCUUUUUGCUUUUUUCAGAGUAUUUGUGAAGCAGUCUGACCUGGCUAUCACAGCCAAACAAGCUAUGAAGAAAUGGAACAACCUUAAGGAAAAAUACAAGACAUGCAGGCAGCUCUCCAGGGGCAGACACCUGUGCAGCAAGUCUGGCACGGAGAGUAUUUCCUGAGAGCUCCCUAUCCUCAUCAUCAGGAACGUUCCCCUGAUCUUCAUCCUCAUCGUGAAGUUUCUCCUCCUCCUCCAGGAUAUCAUCUGUCGAGAGACAGAGGUUGUGUAGGAUGCAGCAUGCUGCAAUAACUUUAGGGGCAAAUAGAGGCCGAAUCUCCAAAGCCCUCAGGAAGAUGGCUCGCCAGCGGGUUUUUAGCAUUCCAAAGGUACGCUCAAUGAUGUUCCUGGCCUUAGCAUGGUGCUUGUUGAAGCGUGCUUCAACUUGGCCUGAUGAUUAAAAUACAGGUAAUGUAAAAAUAUAUGUAGUGUUUCAAAUGCAAAGUAACAAAUCCAAUAAAAAUUGUCUCUGUGUAUUCUUACCCGCUACAGGCUGGCGGUAUGGCGUCAUGAGGGUGAGAGGAUGCUGCAGACAUGGGUACCCCCCGUCUCCAAGAAGAAAGAAGCCAGCUGGUGGAUAUAGGGACUCCUUGUACAUUGGAGAUCUCCGGAGGACAAGGGCAUCAUGGACUGAUCCGGUGUUGCCAAUCAGGUGGAAGUACUCUGACGUGGCACCCAUCUAUUGCUCCAGCCGCACAGCGGAAUGCCUCAUGGCCAGCCAAGCGAGCAAAGCCUGCCCCGACCUCUUCCAUCUCUUCUGGCUUGGGGAAAUGAAUCACCUUGUGAACAAUGGCCAUCAUGUCAUCCACUAUACUGUGGACUAUUCUGCCAACUGUGGCUCUCGGUAUGGCGAAGAUGUCUGCUGUCACUCGGUAUGAGGUGCCACAUGCAAGCCAGUAGAGACAGACAGCCACCUCGAUUUCGUGGCUCCAUCCAUGUGGCUUUUGCCGAGGCAACAUCUGGACCAGCAGGUUGAUGGUUUCUCUGGAGAGCCUAAAGGCUGGUUUUAGGUCAGCUUCAGAGAAAAAGGAUGUGAGGAUUGGCACAUAGUUAUUUAUUUGUACAUACCUCUGAGAAGGCAUUUGAUCCUGUGUUUAAAAAAGAAAAACACACACAUAUAUAUUACUUAUCAUCGAUUAACAUUCUAAAAUUAUUUUUUUAUUAUUAUAAUUUUGGUAAAGCAAGGAAAGGCCAACACAAUGGAAAGUAAAAUGGUAAGUUCCAUUCCUUCUAGUCUGGUUCUAUGUAUUUCUUAAAAUUAUGUAGGCUAUAGAUGUUCUAAUAAACUUUACUUGAUUUAUUGUACAAUGCUUUCCUGAGUUGUUUUAUCUGAAAAUGUGAGUGUGAACCUUUUUUGAUACAGGUCUAAGGUAGUGCAGAGCGUACUGUAAUUUAAGCUACUCAAACAAGCUAUUGCUAUUCCAUUUACCUAAUCCCAAUUUAUUGGAUAAGGAAACUAUAAACUAGUAAUUUUUCCUAUUCAUCCAGGGUUCUCCCCUAGGAUUUUGUGAGGAGGUGAUGGUACUGGGGGGCACAAUCAAAAUGAUCAAAUGUAGUUUGACUGAUGUAAUCAAUUGUAAUACUGAGUGAUAAAAAUUUGCUUUAUAU